Molecule: ribosomal RNA, 468 nt
Filed under: uncultured bacterium
Lineage: Bacteria
Description: partial 16S ribosomal RNA
Rfam family: Bacterial small subunit ribosomal RNA
Source: RNAcentral
GACGAACGCUGGCGGCGUGCUUAACACAUGCAAGUCGAACGGAAAGGCCCUGCUUUUGUGGGGUGCUCGAGUGGCGAACGGGUGAGUAACACGUGAGUAACCUGCCCUUGACUUUGGGAUAACUUCAGGAAACUGGGGCUAAUACCGGAUAGGAGCUCCUGCUGCAUGGUGGGGGUUGGAAAGUUUCGGCGGUUGGGGAUGGACUCGCGGCUUAUCAGCUUGUUGGUGGGGUAGUGGCUUACCAAGGCUUUGACGGGUAGCCGGCCUGAGAGGGUGACCUGCCACAUUGGGACUAAGAUACGGCCCAGACUCCUACGGGAGGCAGCAGUGGGGAAUAUUGCACAAUGGGCGGAAGCCUGAUGCAGCAACGCCGCGUGCGGGAUGACGGCCUUCGGGUUGUAAACCGCUUUCGCCUGUGACGAAGCGUGAGUGACGGUAAUGGGUAAAGAAGCACCGGCUAACUACGUG